Molecule: ribosomal RNA, 253 nt
Filed under: uncultured bacterium
Lineage: Bacteria
Description: partial 16S ribosomal RNA
Rfam family: Bacterial small subunit ribosomal RNA
Source: RNAcentral
GACAGAGGGUGCAAACGUUGUUCGGAAUUACUGGGCGUAAAGCGCGUGUAGGCGGCCCUGCAAGUCGGAUGUGAAAUCCCACGGCUCAACCGUGGAAGUGCAUUCGAAACUGCAGGGCUAGAGUCCUGGAGAGGAAGGUGGAAUGCUUGGUGUAGAGGUGAAAUUCGUAGAUAUCAAGCGGAACACCGGUGGCGAAGGCGGCCUUCUGGACAGUGGCUGACGCUGAGACGCGAAAGCGUGGGGAGCAAACAGG